GAAAAAUUUGUCAAAAUCCGAUUCUUCCUCUUUUAACCGCCUCUACAACCCUUAUCCGACCCCUCUAGACUAUAUCCACCCUUUGUAUAGCCUAAUGUCAUCAAAAAACUAGAUAGGGACGGAUAUUUACCUUUUUCUUUUUGGAAAUCGAGGUCCUUGCGUAGAGGGGAAGGAGAUCUACGUUUUUCCCUUCAGCUGGAAGUGCAACUGGGAUCCCUUUCCUCCUCGAAUCCCCUUCCUCUUCUUCUUUCUUCUUCCUCUUCUUCUCUUUUUCUUUCUUUCUUUCCUCUCUGUUUCACGCCUGAGACUCCCCCUCUCUGUCUCUCGGUUUCAUUCCAAAAGCCACAGCAAACCCCCUAAUUAAAUCACAUCAAAACACUAUUCACCCCUUUUUUAAUAUUAUUA
This 405-nucleotide long non-coding RNA is filed under the name Phoenix dactylifera (date palm). RNAcentral describes it as "long non-coding RNA (PDAC_LNC009220)". The record is from RNAcentral. Lineage: Eukaryota; Viridiplantae; Streptophyta; Magnoliopsida; Arecales; Arecaceae.